UGGUGGGCAGCUUUUAGUAACUUAGUAUUAGAAACUUUAUGGAUAGGCCAUUACCAGUUACAACAACAAAAACAACAAUUCUUUGCUCCAGCAAAAAUUAAGAAAGGGCGAGAGAGGAAGCAAUAAAGAAGAAGAGAACUGGCGACCUAAAAAGAUGAUCGGCGACGGCAUUCGAAGGUAUUAUGAUAAUAUGAUCAGUGACAGAGAGUACUUAUCCUUCACCGGCAAUCUCUGUCACUACUCAUGUGAUCAUGGACCUCCAAUUUUAACUCAUUCAAAAUUUAGGGUUUUCUCCGAAUUUGGGCCUUUUUAUUUUGGGUCUGAAUUGAAGUAAUUCAAUGCAAUUAAUUGGGGGAUUCAAGUCGAAUUAGGACUCUUAUGCCCGGAGAUGGUUUCAAAACCCCUUUCAAGAAAUUGGUAUUGACUGCGUAUGGGGAGGAAGACGAAGUUCCUAAAGUGAAGGUGGGUAUGGUAUUCCCUGAUUAUGAGGGAAUUGAUGUUCAAUUGAAGGCUUACGGGAGGCAAAAGGGGUUUUGUAUUGUGCGUCGUUGUGGUUCAUUCAAGAAAUGUACUAGUAAUAGCCAGACACAGGAUGGUUUUGAAAUCGGAAAAGUAGUUAAACAGAAGCGUAAGUUUAUGUGGACAAUGCUCUGCCUGAUAGGAAGCGUAAGGGCAAUGGUGAUAGUGUUGCUUCUGAUUCGCAGGUUCAUGUUGGCAGUUGUAAUACCUCGUAUUUUUCUGAAUUUAUAAAUAUAUUUUAAUGUAUUUAUAAAGUAUUUUUAUGAAUUUCACGAAUUUAAUUACAUUUAAUAAUAAUUUAAAUGUAUUUUUAUUUUAAAUAAUAUAAUUUUAUUUUAUUUAUUAAAUCUGAAUUUCUUAAAUAAAUUAAUUAUUUUAUUUUAUUCGGGAAUUUAUUUGGCCGUGUUUUAAAUGUCUGAGCCCAAUUCUAUUUAGUUGGUGAACCCAACAAAGCCUCAAAGCUUUUAAUUCUAAUUUAAACCCAAUUAUAAAGCCCAAUGCUAAACCCUAACCCUAAGCCCACUAGGGAUUAGAAACCUAUAAAUAUAGCCCUUUGCAUUGAUGAUCCCCUCACAAUUUCAUUAAAUUUUCUCUAUCCUCUUUUGCUCUCUCUUUCGUCCGACUCUCUCUCUUAGCUCGUCUCCUAGCCCGCACACAAUGAGCACCUUUGCUCGUCUGCAAGCGCUCGCCUCUCUUCGUGCGUCUUCCCUUGUGCCCUCGUGCACACGCACGUCGCCCGGCCACAACCCACACUCUCUUCGCUCCCUCUCCCCCUCACACACAUCCACGCUUUGUGCGCUGUUGUGCGUUGCUGCGCUGCUGCUUGUUGUUGUGUGUCGUGGUUGUUGCCCCUCACACGCACACACUCUCACCCUCUUUCUCUCGUGCCUGCCAAGCACCGAAGCCCCCGCCCCUAAUGUUGCUGCUUGCUGCCUUCACUGCCCGUGCGCGCACAAUACACACUACUCAUGUGUUGUGUGUUGUUCCGUAUACUCCGUGUAUUUUAGCCCUUUUUGCGCCCAAUCACAUUCAAUUCGUGAUUGUACCGUCCUAUAGGCUGGGCUGGUAUAAUUAUCUUCUUCCUUGCCUAUUCUAUUUCAAUUCCGUAUUUUAAAAUUAUAUUAUUAUUAUUAUUAUUAUUGUUUUUGAUUAAUUAAACUGUUGUGAACGGUUAUGAACACCGUAUUGUGUUUGUUUACGUGUUUGAAUUCAUAAGGAUGAUUUUUAUAAAAGGAACUAUUAUUUUUAGAUUUAAUAAAUUAAUAAAGUGUGGAUUUUUGAUGUUCUGAAGUGAUUUUUAUGAUUAUUUUAUACUAGGGUUUUAAUCCCAAUUUAAUAAGUGAUUGAUUUACAUAAUUUAAUGGUGAUUUAAAUUAGGGAAAUCAAAUGUAAUUUUCAGAUUUAAUCCAAGGUUUUAAAGUGUUGAAUUUAAUGGUUUUAAAGGCAAAGUAUUAAUAUUUUCGUACUAUGACUUUAAUCGUUCAAUUGAGACUAUUAUUUUAAUCAUGAGCAACUAAUUUCUAAUUAAACCAAAGGUUUUAAAACUCUUAAAAGUUGCUGGAAAUUUAGUAAGCAUGGAUAAUAACUAAGUUUUAUUAUUUUAAUUAUAGGAAGUGAUUUCUAGCAUUGACUGUGAUUUGCAAAGUGGCCCCCGUACUCAAAUACUCGAGGUACAUAUUUGCCUAGGGUGACCACCGUUUAAAUGAGGAUUAUGUGACGAUUAUUAUUUGUGAAUCAUGUGAUUGAAGUAUUAUUGAAUUCAGGUUUGAUGUGGUGAACAAGCAUGUUAUGGUUUAUUGUUGAAUUAUGAAGCCUAUGUGAACAGUCAUGUUGUGAUAAUUUAUAAUCGCUGAAUUAUGUCAAGCAUGUUGUUCAAAUUUAUAUGCAUGUAUGAGUGUUUCACAUGCAAGGAUUAUGUUUAUGCUAUUGUACGAGAUGUCUAGCAUACUUUAAGCCAAAUAGUUGUGCCGCAAUGCAAUAUUUAUUCUACCGCCGAGUAGAAUAUGUUUGGGAAGUUUAUGUGAAUAGAACUAAGGACUAUUCGUGCCUUGUGUACACCCCGCUUGUUAACUGGCAAUGUCGGGUUAUCUCAAUAGUAUAUUGAGAAGGAACAAUGAGAGUAAUAUCACUUGAGUCCUAUGUUUGAUCACAUGUCCUAAAGGAUUAAAAUGAAGUGUCAAUGUUUGGUUGCUUGUAUUUUAUGUCUUGUUGUUGUGUCUUGAGUUCACCUUGUGCAUAAAAUAUUAAUUAAUGUAAAGUGCAACCCGAAUGAGCUUUAAAACUCUUGGAACGUAUAUACCUUGAGUAUGAACAAUUGGGGGAGUCUUGCCGGAAAACUUGUACUCCUUAAAUGAUACGUUGUUUCAUUCUUUCUUUUAAGCGCGGGAAUUCCGUCGGUAUGGUUCGAUAUUUAUUACUUUGGUGUGUGGUUGGCUUCCCACACAUUUUUUUUUCCUUUUAUGGAUAUUUUCUUUUACCCGUUCAAAACUAAUGCUUAUUAAUUUUUGAGUCAAGAGCCGUGUCAAGUGUCGAGUCUUGUCUCCAUGGUUACUUGUUAUUAAAUGGCUUUUGUAUGUGGAUUAUUAUAUUGUCGAGUGAAGCAUGUUAGACUAGGAUUUCAUUCUAGCUUGUUCGUACUUAGCAAUAGCUGAUCUUGUGCUUCAUGUCUUUCGGUCAUGGUUUUUUCCUUAAUGACCCUAUGAUGAUACAUCAUUGCAUUUGCGUUGUUGGGGAGUAGAUUUUAAAUAAAAGGUUUUUAGAGAUAACUUGCGGGUGAAGUUAUCAUGGGAUUGAGUUGAGAGAUUAUUUUCUCUUCCGUAUUUAUAAACUCUAUAUUUAAUUUCUAAGUCACGACUUCAGUAUUUUCUUAAACUUUAAUUAAUGGAUUUUCAACUAUUUAAUGUUUUGGUUUGGGCCUUAAUGGUUCCAAGUUGUACGAUGACCAUUAACUAUUUAUUAUAUUUCAAAGUUAGUUAAAUUUCGCUGCGUAAUUCUGGUAAAUAGCCUUAGCCGUUAUCACGGUGGCGGUAAUAUCUUGGUAAUUCCUUUGUUUUAAGUUGGAAAAUAUUUUAUAAAAAGCAAGUAAUUAUUAGGGUGUUACAACAGUGGUGUACGCAUUUCUAAAUGAAUGUCCUGUACGUACAUGUAUUUGCUAGUGUAAAUGAGUUAGGGAAGUGGGUUAUACGGAGAUCAGUCAUGGGACAUGCAAAUCACCACCUAACCCCGGUAAGUCUAGAAAAAUUGCUUCAUUCCGGAAGCGGCUUAUUGAAGAGAAUCCUCAUGUAGGGAGGGAAUUGGUGGUUUGUAGGAAAUUGGUAUGCAGACUAAUCAAGUGUAUAAUUUGAUGUCAAUGCGAAGGAAUGGUAAAAUGUCGUUUUCACAGAAAGAUCUUCAUGAUUAUAUUGCUAAAUUCAGAAAGGAAAAGACGAAAUCCGGUGCUAGGGCGAUGUUUUCCUACUAUGAGAAGAUGAAAGCAGAUAAUUUUGAUUUUUCCGCGUGUUUAGACAAGGGGAAGAUGGUCUUUUGCUGGAUGUUCUUUGGGUUGAUGCUCGUAGUAGAGCGGCGUAUGAGGAUUUUGGCAAUGUUGUAUGUUUUGACACUACCUACUUGACCAAUCAAUAUAAAAUGCCAUUUGCGAAUUUUGCAGGUGUAAAUCAUCAUGGUCAAAGCAUAUUACUUGGAUGUGCGUUGGUUUCACGUGAGAAUGCCGACACCUUUGAGUGGAUAUUUAGUAAUUGGUUGGAAUGUAUGGGAGGUAAAGCCCUUGUAGGGAUAUUGAUUGAUCUGGAUGCUACAAUGAAGAAGGCUUUAAAGUCAACCAUGAGUGAAUCAUGUCAUAGGUGGUGCCUAUGGCACAUUACUCAAAAGUUUUGCAGAAAGUUCAGAAAGAAUGAAGAGUACCUAGAUUUGAAGGAAGACGAUGGUGAUGAAUUCGAAAUGAAUUGGGCAACUGUUAUGAAGCGGUACAACCUAUCAGAUAAUGAUAUUCCUAAAAUACGCGUAGGAAGGCAUAGAAAUUUUUUAUUUCCUUUUUAUAUAGUUGGGCAUACCUAAAUACAUUUAGAAAGUACUAAACUUUGUCAAUUGACAUAAGUGUAGUUGAGUACAUGGGCGGACCUAUAGUGACCCCAUAGGGUCCAUAGGGACCCCAAUUAUUUUUGGAAAAAAAUCAAAAAGUUUAUGUAAUUUGAAUUUUAAAAAAUUAUAUUUGUGGUCCCCAUACUAAAAGCAAUAAAGAAUAAGACAUA
Molecule: RNA transcript, 4766 nt
Organism: Spinacia oleracea (spinach)
Lineage: Eukaryota; Viridiplantae; Streptophyta; Magnoliopsida; Caryophyllales; Amaranthaceae
Gene name: protein FAR-RED IMPAIRED RESPONSE 1-like
Exons: 2
Source: RefSeq, a predicted model, not a curated record